GUGUCAGCAGCCGCGGUAAAACGUAGGGGGCGAGCGUUAUCCGGAAUCACUGGGCGUAAAGGGCGUCUAGGCGGUCCAGUAAGUCCUGCGUGAAAGCUCCCGGCUCAACUGGGAGAGCGCGUGGGAGACUGUUGGGCUAGAGACUCGGAGAGGGGUGUGGAAUUCCCGGUGGAGUGGUGAAAUGCGUUGAGAUCGGGAGGAACACCAGUGGCGAAGGCGGCACCCUGGCCGAGUUCUGACGCUGAAGCGCGACAGCGUGGGGAGCAAACGGGAUUAGAUACCCCCGUAGUCC
Molecule: ribosomal RNA, 292 nt
Filed under: uncultured bacterium
Lineage: Bacteria
Description: partial 16S ribosomal RNA
Rfam family: Bacterial small subunit ribosomal RNA
Source: RNAcentral